Mirounga angustirostris (Northern elephant seal) is the source of this 1381-nucleotide long non-coding RNA. RefSeq lists it as uncharacterized. NCBI's taxonomy places the organism in Eukaryota, Metazoa, Chordata, Mammalia, Carnivora, Phocidae. The record is from RefSeq and is a predicted model, not a curated record. The transcript has 3 exons.
ACCUAUCUCGAAGAACGGAACUGGACAGGGCAACUAGGAGAAGGUUAGCACCACCCAUCUGCAACGGAAAGCCAGGUCAGUGAGCUUGUUGAGGGCUGGAGUGUCAAAAGCUGAGACAGCAAGAACAGACCUCACUUUCCAUAAAUCAACACUAAACUUCAGAGGGUAUUUCUCAAGGAGAAGAAAAGGCAGCUCAGAAAUGGAAGUCACUGACCUGUCCACUCUGCUUUCCACGUUCCCACGGAGUAUCUCUCAAGAAUGUGAGAGUGUCAGGAACCCUGGCACUGUCAUGAAGAGCAAGAAGGAAAAACUCUGAGAAUUCAAACUCAGCUGGAAACUGCUGGAGGAGCUGCCAGACACAAUCAAGGAAGAGGAGAAACACUGGAGCCUGAGAAGAGGCAAAGUGAGAGGACAACAUCUGAAUGCCCAGCCUGGAGCAUCGACUCCACUGCUCUGGAGGGGAAGAAGUCACAAGGUAAGGGAACAAGUCUGUCCUGAACCUCCAACCCUUGAGUCUACUCAUCAAACCUCCCCUCACCUGAUAUCCUCCUUGUUAGGGUCGCUGGCUGUAUAGAAGCCACCACAGCGGAGAAGAUCACUGCCCCCAGGGUGAUGCCAGGACAGGCGCUUUGGAUGGUGGGAGGUUAGGAUCACCGUGGGGGAACCUGCUAGCCCCACCCUAUCCUGCCCCCACCCUGAUCUCCCUCUGCAAUGACCCCCCCUGACCUCCCAUAACCAUCUAAUCCCCAAUCAUCACCCCUGGCCCCCACACUGACCGGUCCACGGCCCUGAUGGAAGUGGCCAAAUGCUCUCCUGACCUCACUGUCCAAAGUUCGCUUAGGGACCCAGAAGUAACGGGGGAGGCUGUGAAAUUGAGAGUUAACAGUCACAGCUUGGCUCAGUGAACUCAUUACAAUGCAGACCUGUCAUUACAAGGAAGUCGCUUGGGAGGGGAUUAUUUCAAGGGACCUCAGGUUUAGAGAUCUAGGCAGUAAGGGGGAUAGCUUUGUGGAUACCGUAAGAGACUAGAGUUUGUGGGCCGUCCUCGCUUUAGAGGAUCUGAGAACUGUGGGAAGAUUGGGAGGGCAGCGGGGGUUGGGGUGGACUGAGGGAUCACCUGGUGGCUACGUCGAACCUCUCAUUGACAGGGCUGACCCUCCAGCCCCCGGCCCCCUGCUUUUUCCGCUCAGUCUCCCAGUCUUCUGAUGUCUCCAAGAGGGGAACAGGUGGUUUUCUGGACCCUGAACUCUGGCCUAGGGCAGGAAUGAAGCACAGAAAAGAAGGAAGAGGAACCAGAGAGAGCGUCUCAGCUCUACUGUCUUCAGCCAGCCUCUGCUCUUCCAGAUUCUUUACCCUUUCCCUACCCUAAAGCACCCUCACU